RNAcentral lists this ribosomal RNA (301 nucleotides) under uncultured bacterium. RNAcentral describes it as "partial 16S ribosomal RNA". It matches the Rfam family "Bacterial small subunit ribosomal RNA", at positions 509 to 809 of the family's 1533-position model. The record is from RNAcentral.
CAGCCGCCGCGGUAAAACGGAGGGGGCUAGCGUUGUUCGGAAUUACUGGGCGUAAAGCGCACGUAGGCGGCUUGGUAAGUUAGAGGUGAAAGCCUGGAGCUCAACUCCAGAAUUGCCUUUAAGACUGCCGAGCUAGCAGGUGAGAGAGGUAAGUGGAAUUCCGAGUGUAGAGGUGAAAUUCGUAGAUAUUCGGAAGAACACCAGUGGCGAAGGCGGCUUACUGGCUCAUACUGGACGCUGAGGUGCGAAAGCGUGGGGAGCAAACAGGAUUAGAUACCCCUGUAGUCCCUGUCUCUUAUAA